Molecule: long non-coding RNA, 717 nt
Organism: Dreissena polymorpha
Lineage: Eukaryota; Metazoa; Mollusca; Bivalvia; Myida; Dreissenidae
Exons: 2
Source: RefSeq, a predicted model, not a curated record
AUAAAAUACGGGACGUAUUAUGUGAAACCCCUUGGCGGGCGGGCGGGCGGCGGGCGGAAGGCAUCACUUUGUCCGGACUCUAAUUCAAAUUGUAUUCAUCAGAUCUUCACCAAACUUGGUCAGCAGUUGCAUCUAGUUGAUAUCUAGGCCAAGUUCGAAUAUGGGUCAUGCCGGGUCAAAAACUAGGUCAUAGGGUCAAUUAGUGCAUUUUCAACGGCGCCACUUUGUCCGGACUCUAAUUCAAAUUGUAUUCAUCCGAUCUUCACCAAACUUGGUCAGUAGUUGCAUCUAGUUGAUAUCUAGGCCAAGUUCGAAUAUGGGUCAUGCCAGGUAAAAAACUAGGUCAUAGGGUCAAUUAGUCCAUUUUCAACAGCGCCACUUUGUCCGGACUCUUAUUCAAAUUGUAUUCAUCCGAUCUUUACCAAACUUGGUCAGUAGUUGCAUCUAGUUGAUAUCUAGGUCAAGUUCGAAUAUGGGUCAUGUCGGGUCAAGAACUAGGUCAUAGGGUCAAUUAGUGCAUUUUCAACGGCGCCACUUUGUCCGGACUCUAAUUCAAAUUGUAUUCAUCCGAAACUUUUAAACAACUUUUUAUCCUGCGUCAAAGUGGUAUGGGGGUCUAAACAAUUAUGAUUUAAAUAUUGUGUUUUAGAGAACAAAUGAGACUAAGUGUACACUUAUUGAUAUCAAUGCAUAUAUAUGAAUAUAUCAGUUAUAUAA